This 73-nucleotide transfer RNA is filed under the name Bos taurus (domestic cattle). It matches the Rfam family "tRNA". From Rfam's summary of the family: Transfer RNA (tRNA) molecules are approximately 80 nucleotides in length. Their secondary structure includes four short double-helical elements and three loops (D, anti-codon, and T loops). Further hydrogen bonds mediate the characteristic L-shaped molecular structure. tRNAs have two regions of fundamental functional importance: the anti-codon, which is responsible for specific mRNA codon recognition, and the 3' end, to which the tRNAs corresponding amino acid is attached (by aminoacyl-tRNA synthetases). tRNAs cope with the degeneracy of the genetic code in two manners: having more than one tRNA (with a specific anti-codon) for a particular amino acid; and 'wobble' base-pairing, i.e. permitting non-standard base-pairing at the 3rd anti-codon position. The record is from Rfam by way of RNAcentral. RNAcentral also lists the same sequence under 5 other names. Lineage: Eukaryota; Metazoa; Chordata; Mammalia; Artiodactyla; Bovidae.
UCCCUGGUGGUCGAGUGGAUAAGACUCCACACUCCGAAUGCAUGGGGCCCGGGUUCAAUCCCUGGUCAGGGAA